GCCUUCGUGGUGUAAUGGUAGCACACUCGACGCAUAUUCGAGAGGUCCAGGUUCAAGUCUCGGCGAAGGCU
RNAcentral lists this transfer RNA (71 nucleotides) under Stegodyphus dumicola. RNAcentral describes it as "tRNA-Met". It matches the Rfam family "tRNA". Rfam says of the family: Transfer RNA (tRNA) molecules are approximately 80 nucleotides in length. Their secondary structure includes four short double-helical elements and three loops (D, anti-codon, and T loops). The record is from RNAcentral. Lineage: Eukaryota; Metazoa; Arthropoda; Arachnida; Araneae; Eresidae.